GGAAAGUAAAAAAUCGUAACAAGGUUUCCGUAGGUGAACCUGCGGAAGGAUCAUUAUUGAAUUUUAAUGAAGAGUUUGGUUGUAGCUGGUCUAUUUAUUUAGGCAUGUGCACACCUCCCUCUUUCAUCCCACACACACCUGUGAACUUGUGAGACAGUUGGGGAAUUUAUUUGUUAUUUUUUGUAAUAAAAUGAUAAUAAGUCAUUGAACCCUUCUGUCUACUCAACUCAUAUAAAAUCAAUUUAUUUUAAAUGAAUGUAAUGGAUGUAACACAUCUCAUACUAAGUUUCAACAACGGAUCUCUUGGCUCUCGCAUCGAUGAAGAACGCAGCGAAAUGCGAUAAGUAAUGUGAAUUGCAGAAUUCAGUGAAUCAUCGAAUCUUUGAACGCACCUUGCGCUCCUUGGUAUUCCUUGGAGCAUGCCUGUUUGAGUAUCAUGAAAUCUUCAAAAUCAAUCUUUUUGUUAACUCAAUUAGUUUGAUUUUGGUAUUGGAGGUCUUUUGCAGCUUCACACCUGCUCCUCUUUGUGUAUUAGCUGGAUCUCAGUGUUAUGCUUGGUUCCACUCAGCGUGAUAAAUUAUCUAUCGCUGAGGACACUGUAAAAAGUGGCCAAGGUAAAUGCAGAUGAACCGCUUCUAAUAGUCCAUUGACUUGGACACUAUUAUUAUGAUCUGAUCUCAAAUCAGGUAGACUACCAAUUUCU
RNAcentral lists this ribosomal RNA (703 nucleotides) under Rhizoctonia solani. RNAcentral's name for it is "eukaryotic LSU rRNA". The stretch from base 284 to 437 matches the Rfam family "5.8S ribosomal RNA". The record is from RNAcentral. Lineage: Eukaryota; Fungi; Basidiomycota; Agaricomycetes; Cantharellales; Ceratobasidiaceae.